RNAcentral lists this ribosomal RNA (1493 nucleotides) under uncultured prokaryote. RNAcentral describes it as "partial 16S ribosomal RNA". It matches the Rfam family "Bacterial small subunit ribosomal RNA". The record is from RNAcentral.
AGUAGUCAGAGUUUGAUCAUGGCUCAGAUUGAACGCUGGCGGCAGGCUUAACACAUGCAAGUCGAGCGGUAACAGGAAUAGCUUGCUAUUUGCUGACGAGCGGCGGACGGGUGAGUAACGCGUAGGAAUCUACCUGGUAGUGGGGGACAACCUGUGGAAACGCAGGCUAAUACCGCAUACGACCUAAGGGUGAAAGUAGCCUAAGGGUGAAAGUAGGGGAUCUUCGGACCUUAUGCUAUCAGAUGAGCCUGCGUAAGAUUAGCUAGUUGGUAGGGUAAAGGCCUACCAAGGCGACGAUCUUUAGCUGGUCUGAGAGGAUGAUCAGCCACACUGGGACUGAGACACGGCCCAGACUCCUACGGGAGGCAGCAGUGGGGAAUAUUGCACAAUGGGCGCAAGCCUGAUGCAGCCAUGCCGCGUGUGUGAAGAAGGCUCUAGGGUUGUAAAGCACUUUAAGCGAGGAGGAAAGGAUUGUAGUUAAUAGCUGCGAUCUGUGACGUUACUCGCAGAAUAAGCACCGGCUAACUCCGUGCCAGCAGCCGCGGUAAUACGGAGGGUGCAAGCGUUAAUCGGAAUUACUGGGCGUAAAGCGCGCGUAGGCGGCUAUUUAAGCUAGAUGUGAAAGCCCUGGGCUCAACCUGGGAACUGCAUCCAGAACUGUAUAGCUAGAGUAUGGUAGAGGAGUGUGGAAUUUCAGGUGUAGCGGUGAAAUGCGUAGAGAUCUGAAGGAACUUCAUUGGCGAAGGCGACACUCUGGACCAAUACGGAUUAGAUACCCUGGUAGUCCACGCCGUAAACGAUGUCUACUAGCCGUUGGGUUCCUUGAGGACUUAGUGGCGCAGCUAACGCAUUAAGUAGACCGCCUGGGGAGUACGGCCGCAAGGUUAAAACUCAAAUGAAUUGACGGGGGCCCGCACAAGCGGUGGAGCAUGUGGUUUAAUUCGACAACGCGAAGAACCUUACCAUCCCUUGACAUCUACGAACUUACUAGAGAUAGUUUGGUGCCUUCGGGAACGUAGUGACAGGUGCUGCAUGGCUGUCGUCAGCUCGUGUUGUGAAAUGUUGGGUUAAGUCCCGUAACGAGCGCAACCCUUAUCCUUAUUUGCCAGCACGUAAUGGUGGGAACUCUAGGGAGACUGCCGGUGAUAAACCGGAGGAAGGUGGGGACGACGUCAAGUCAUUAUGGCCCUUACGACCAGGGCUACACACGUGCUACAAUGGACGGUACAGCACGGUUGCCAAGCCGCGAGGUGGAGCUAAUCCCAUAGAACCGUUCGCACUCCGGAUUGGAGUCUGCAACUCGACUCCAUGAAGUCGGAAUCGCUAGUAAUCGUGAAUCAGAAUGUCACGGUGAAUACGUUCCCGGUCCUUGUACACACCGCCCGUCACACCAUGGGAGUGGAUUGCACCAGAAGUAGUUAGUCUAACCUUCGGGAGGACGAUUACCACGGUGUGGUUCAUGACUGGGGUGAAGUCGUAACAAGGUAGCCGUA